Molecule: ribosomal RNA, 396 nt
Filed under: uncultured bacterium
Lineage: Bacteria
Description: partial 16S ribosomal RNA
Rfam family: Bacterial small subunit ribosomal RNA
Source: RNAcentral
AUACGUAGGGGGCGAGCGUUGUCCGGAAUGAUUGGGCGUAAAGGGCGCGUAGGCGGCGCGGUAAGUCUGGAGUGAAAGUCCUGCUUUCAAGGUGGGAAUCGCUUUGGAUACUGCCGCGCUUGAGUGCAGGAGAGGUUAUCGGAAUUCCCGGUGUAGCGGUGAAAUGCGUAGAGAUCGGGAGGAACACCAGUGGCGAAGGCGGGUAACUGGACUGCAACUGACGCUGAGGCGCGAAAGUGUGGGGAGCAAACAGGAUUAGAUACCCUGGUAGUCCACACUGUAAACGAUGAAUGCUAGGUGUAAGAGGUAUCGACCCCUUUUGUGCCGGAGUCAACACAAUAAGCAUUCCGCCGGGGAGUACGGCCGCAAGGUUGAAACUCAAAUGAAUUGACGGGG